This 199-nucleotide unclassified non-coding RNA is filed under the name fungal sp. Its description in RNAcentral is "partial internal transcribed spacer region". The stretch from base 1 to 46 matches the Rfam family "Eukaryotic small subunit ribosomal RNA", at positions 1786 to 1831 of the family's 1831-position model. Lineage: Eukaryota; Fungi. The record is from RNAcentral.
AAGUCGUAACAAGGUAACCGUAGGUGAACCUGCGGUUGGAUCAUUAUGGGAGCGCCAUACAAUUUACGAAUUGUGUGCUUCGACCCUGUGCAUUUUUAGUACUUGAUACGUGAUUGAGAGUGCUCGUACGUGCUCACGACAAUACAAUAAACUGAGAAGCAAAUCAAAACAACUUUUGACAACGGAUCUCUUGGCUCUC